RNAcentral lists this long non-coding RNA (434 nucleotides) under Monodelphis domestica (gray short-tailed opossum). RNAcentral describes it as "lncRNA (ENSMODG00000042549.1)". Lineage: Eukaryota; Metazoa; Chordata; Mammalia; Didelphimorphia; Didelphidae. The record is from RNAcentral.
CUUCUGGUUUAUCUGGGACUGUCUUCUGAUUUUCUUCAUAUGCUCAAUGCUUGGCACAGCAUGUGGCAGAGAGAAGAAACUUCAGAAGUGUUUAUUGACUGAAUUUCUGUGGGUGAAGUGAGGAAGAUAGAAUUCUUCUGUGUCCUCCUCACCUAUUUACUGAGGGAGUGGCAUUGAGAAGGAGGAGUCAGUCUCUUGUGGAAUUUAGGCCAGGAUACACCAAGGAAAUCUUCUUCUAACUUUCUUUUCCUGCAGGGGAGGACACCACUGUAUAUGAGAACACUGUUCGCCUAAAAGGCUUGGCUCUGCCUGCACAGGGCCUGGACUCUUCCUCUACUUCCCCUGAAAUCUCAGCUGAGAAUCCCUAUCAGGUAUGUGCACAGGGACUGGCCAGGUUUCAAUUGGGGAUGGUAAGAGAGAGAAAAAUGCUGCUG